RNAcentral lists this long non-coding RNA (5459 nucleotides) under Homo sapiens (human). RNAcentral describes it as "HSALNT0391117". The record is from RNAcentral. Lineage: Eukaryota; Metazoa; Chordata; Mammalia; Primates; Hominidae.
CCAGCAAUCAGAGUCCCCUGUAGCUGGCACAGAGGCAGAGCCUGCCAUGAUCACACCAACCUGACCACCCUGUCCACUCGAUGGUACACUUCGCUGACCCACUUUGGCCUCCCAAAUUGCUAGGAUUAGAGGCGUGAGCUAUCACGCCUCGCCUGAACGUCCAUAAUCUUAAGUUUCACAUUUGUCUCCUUCCUUCAAGUCCCCUUGACUUAUCUUUGUUAUUUUAUAUUAAAGACAUUGGGAUGGUCAUGAUUUAUUCACACAUCUUGUAUGAUUCUGGGCCAGGUACUUGCUGGAGAUACCAAGAAAAAGAACCAUUCCAAACAGCGUUAUAGCUAGGAUGGGGGAACAAAAUAAACUUAGGAAUUGGCAUCUCAAGAGUCUCUUGGGAGUUCAAGAACUAUUCAUCCAUGCCUACUUUCUCCCAGGUACAGUGCUUGGUGCUGACAAUACAGAAGUGAACAGGCCUGGUGCUCUGUAUCAUAGAGCUAAUAUUCUAGUAAGGAAGACAGAAAAUAAACAAGGAGACAAAGAGAUAAUAUACUGUAAUUGCACAUAGUGAUGAGUGUUAUAAGCGAAGUCAAGCAGAUGAAUGGGACAGAGAGUCACUGGGGAUGGUGCUUUUGAGCUACGGGGGUCCGGUCAGGGAAGGCUGAGACAACAAUGAAGUGAGUCGGGAAAGAAGGAACAGCAAAUGUAAAACCCUGAAGCUGGGCCGGGCACGGUGGCUCAUGCCUGUAAUCCCAGCACUUUGGGAGGCCAAAGUGGGCAGAUCACUUGAGGCCAGGAGUUUGAGACCAGCCUGGUCAACAUGGUGAAACCCCAUAAUUUUGUAAAAAUACAAAAAUUAGCUGGGCAUGGUGGUAGGCAUCUGUAAUCCCAGCUACUUGGGAGGCUGAGGCAUAAGAAUAAGUUGAACUUAGGAGGCGGAGGUUUCAGUGAGCUGAGAUUGCACCACUGUACUUCAGCCUGGGUGACAGAGUGAGACUCUGCCUCAAAAAAAAAUUUUUUUUUCAAAGAAGCCUGAUGUUGGAAGGAGUUCGCUUGGACUACAGAGCUGCAAGGAGGCCGGUGGGUCAGAGCUUAGUGAGCAAAGAUGCUAUUCUGUCCCACCAGCUUUGAGGCCCUGGCAAGAUAAGAUGCCUGAGCCUGCAAAGCAGAAGCUAGACCAUGGGCAGGAGUGAACUCAACAUGCUUAGUGCCACUCUGGAGUCCUGUGGGGCGCACAGCCUGCAUCCCCAGCAGACGUCACUCUGCCUCCAGCUUGAGGAAGGGGCUGCAGAGCUUUCCUCUUCAGCCUUCAGCUUGAGUUGGCAGGUGCACAGUCACAACCUUCAGGGUCCUAGAGCAUUCAUUUUCAGGAAGUAAAUCUUCAGGAUGUACUGAAGCAUCUUCAGGAUAGCAAAUUCGAAGACUCUGACCCACACUGACGGUUUUGUGAUUUACAUGGUCAUAUUCAAGAAACAGAGCGAGGCCAAUCAGAUAUCCAUAUGGAAAAAUAUGAGGUUUGACUUCUAACACCACACAUAAAAAUUAAUCCCAGAAAGAUCAUAAACCUAAUUGUGAAAGAUAAAUCACUAAAGCUUCUAGAAGAUAAUAUAGGCAAAUACCUUCAGAUCCUUGGGGGGAGAUGAGUAUCUCUUAAAUGGGACAAAAACCAAGCAAACCAUAAACAAAAAGACUGAUAAACUGCACAUCAUUAAAAGAACCUCUGUUCAAUAAAAAUACCAUUAGGAGGUUUAAAAGUCAAGCCCUAUAGACUAGAAAAAGAUACUUGAUAAAUAUAGUUUUUGUCCAAUGAAAGACUUAUAUCUGUAAUAUAUAAAGAGUUCCUACAAAUCAACACAUACACAUACAACUCAAUUUAAGACCAGAAUGACAACUUGGACAGACAUUCUAUAAAAGAGGAUUGACUGGCCAAUAAGCAAAUGAAAAGGUAUCAUCAUUUAGUCAUCAAGGAUAUGAAAAUUAAAACCACUACACAUCUACCAGAGUGGCUAAAAUUAAAAAGAUUGGUAACACCAUUGGCCAGGAUAAAGAGCAACUAGAAUGCUCAUUUGUUGCCAAUAUGAGUAUAAAUUAGCACAAACACUUUAGAAAACUGUUUGGUGGUGGUAUCUAUUAAAGCUAAACAUAAGCCACCCAAGGACCUAGCAAUUCCAUUCCCAGGUAUAUAUACCCACAGAAAUAAGCACCGAGUUUCUCCAAAAGCAUGUAUGAGAAUGUUCACUACAGCUUUCUUCAUAAUAGUCAAAACCUGGAAACAACCCAAAUGUCCAUUAACGGGAGAAUGGAUAAUAGGUUGCGAUAUAUUUUUACAAUGGAAUACUGCAGAACAAUGGAAAAGAAUUAACUACAGCCUCAUGCUAUAUGUACAGCCACACACCACCAUGCCCAGCUAAUUUUUGUAUUUUUUGUACAGAUGGGGUCUCACUUUGUUACCCAGGUUGGUCUCCAACUCCUGGGCUCAAGCAAUCCUCCCUCUUGGUCUCCCAAAGCGCUGGGGUUACAGGUGUGAGCCACCAUGCCCAGCCCCCAAAUAUUUUCAUUUUAACUUGUAAUCCAUAAAAAUGAGAUUUUCUAUUCUUUUAUCAUACUAAGUUAUUGAAAUCCAGCGCUUAUUUCACAUGGCACAUCUCCAUUUGGACUUGCCACAUUUUAAGUGUACAACAGCCACACGUGGCUUGUAGCUGCCAUAUUGGACAGCACGGCUCUAAAACCUGGGUCAUGUUGCAAAGUGAGUAUGUUCAAGGCCUAGUAUUUUCUAAAAAUAUUAAUUUAAUAGGCUGAGUGCACCAGCUCAUGCCUGUAAUCCCAGCACUUCAGGAGGCCCAGGCAAGAAGAUCGAGACCAGCCUGGCCAACAUGGUGAAACCCCAUCUCUACUAAAAAUACAAAACUUAGCCAGACAUGGAGGUGGGCACCUGUAAUCCCAGCUACUCAGGAGGCUGAGGCAGGAGAAUUGCUUGAACCCAGGAGGCGAAGGUGGCAGUGAGCAGAGAUUGUGCCACUGCAUUCCAGCCUGGGCAACAGAGCAAGACUCCAUCUGAAAAAAAUACCAAAAACCAAAAAUCAAAAAAUAUUAAUUUAAUAAUAACAAGUACUAAGGAGGAAAUGAAGGUUCAGAGAGCUGAAGUGACUUGCCCAAGGCCUUAUGCUGGUGAGUGGUAGUGGUUAAAGAGCUGAGACUGCGGUCAGACUGAGAACGACCUUCACAAAGUGACGUGAAAAUGACAGGAGAUACACACGGGAAGUGAUCAGCACAGUGCCGGGCUUAUAUCUAUAGCUCACAUGCCAAGAAACAGCCGGGCUUAUAUCUACAGCUCACAUGCCAAGAAACAUGAGCCCCAUCAUCAUGAUGCUAUUAACACUAUCACUAUGCAGGGAGAGGAAGGCUAACAGGGAGAAGGCAGAGACCACUCAGGGUCACUAGCUGGGGAAACCCUGUGUCAGCUGACAUUUCCCAAGACCGCCCCCUGAACGGCUUGCACCACUCACCGGACUGGUGGGUGAGGAAACUACCAGCUUCAGACCAGCUCCGUCAUGAGCCUGGGCCUUCUGCAGGCCAUUCCCUUGGCCCACUUCUCUGGCUGUCUCGCUGACAGUACUAGAAGGCUGCUGGCCUGAGGUGCUCUCUACAGGCUGCUGUAAGUCCAGGGGGCUGGGCGCCUGGGGAUGCGGCUCCUGCACGUGGACACCAUCUUGAGUUCCAGAGGCUGCCUGGGCAGGAAGGGGCUCUGCAGGUGCCUCACAGUGCAGGUGUGUGCUGGUGUUGAGGCCAUGGAGGGAGAGUUAGGCCUGUGGUGUGGGGAUCUCCGUUUCUUGGCUCAGUCCGUUGGUUGGCACAGUUUACCUGGGCUUUGCUGAAUUCCAACAAUACCUGGCAUUCUGAGCAGGCUAGCUGUGGGCCUGGAGAGCUUGCUCAGCCAAACACAUGGUUGUGUGGGCAAUCGUUUCCCCAAACAUGGUAUGCAGCAGAGCCUCCUCCUCCACAGCACAGGGAGUAGAGAUGCCAGGACUCUGUGCCCUGGGGCAGGGACUAGGAGAAGCGAGGGCUAGGCAGGUUUCCUAAGCGAGGUCAUACUUUGUUCCUGUGCAGGCACUGGGACAGCAAGGGGAGGUGCAAGGGCUGGUCCCCUCAGAGCUGGACUGGAGGUGGAGACAGAGAAGCUUCACAUCCCCAGAAACUGCUGCUGGAGCUCAAUGUAUACCAGGUGUGUGAGGGUGGAUAUGAGUACACACGAGAUGUGCCCCUGCUCAGUCUCCAUGGUGGGACUGCCACUCCCUGUCUCCUCCGUGCUGCUUCCUGGGGCCACAGGGAGCAAAUGUUACUGCCUUGGUACACGUGCGUGUACACCACACUCACACAUACACACUGCACAGAAACAUGCCCUGGGCCCUCUGGAAUGUGCACUGACUAGCAACUGCUCCUCCCUCUCCUGAGGCUUCUUCUGAGGAUCCAAGCUCCAUUUUGAAAAUAAACCCGUUUGCUCUCUCUUCUGCUUAUAAAACCAGUGGAGCAUGUCAUGGGCAAAGCCUGGUUCAGGUGGCCACAGGCUGUCUAAGGCCCCAAAGCCUCCCUGCAUCUGCCCUGAUGGCUUGGACUGGGUCCAGAAGAUACAUGAAGCUCUGCUUAAUUUGGGCUUAUGGAAAUGAGGAUUUUAGAAUUCAAGUUGCUUACCUGAUUGUCUUUCCAGUGAGCUCUGCACCAUCUUAACCCCAAACAACAUUUCAAGACAUUAUCGUCAAGAAUAGGUGGCCAAUCCAUACAUGUAUAAGUAACUGAUUUUGGCCGGGUGUGGUGGCUUACAUCUGCAAUCCCAGCACUUUGGGAGGCUGAGGUGGGUAGUAGAACCACAAGAUCAGGAGUUCAAGACUAGCAUGGCCAAGAUGGUAAAACCCCGUCUCUACUAAAAAUACAAAAAUUAGCCAGGCUUGGUGGCAGGCGCCUGUAAUCCCAGCUACUCGGGAGGCUGAGGCAGAGAAUUGCUUAAACCUGGGAGGUGGAGGUUGCAGUGAGCCGGGACUGUGCCACUGCAAUCCAGCCUGGGUGAAAGAGCGAGACUCCAUCUCAAAAAAAAAAAAGUAACUGAUUUUCAACAUAGACACCAACACAUUUUAAUGGGGAGGGAAUAGUCUUUUCAACAAUUGUGCUGAGAUAAGUGGAUAAUCACAUGCAAAAGAAAAAAGCUGGACUGCUAUCUCACAUUGUAUACAAAAAUUAACUCAAAGUGGAUUAAAGACCUAAAGGUAAGAGCUAAAACUGUAAAACUCUUAGAAGGAAAGAGAGGUAUAAACUUCAUGUCUUUGGAUUAGGCAACGGUUUCUUAGAUGUGAGAUCUACAGCAUAAGAAAGCAAUAAAAAAUAAAUUGUAAUCCCAGCACUUUGGAGGCCAAGGCGGGUGGAUCACCUGAGGCCAGGAGUUCGAGAUCAGCCUGGCCAACAUAGUGAAACCCUGU